GAUGAAGAACGUAGCGAAAUGCGAUAAGUAAUGUGAAUUGCAGAAUUCCGUGAAUCAUCGAAUCUUUGAACGCACAUUGCGCCCCCUGGUAUUCCGGGGGGCAUGCCUGUCCGAGCGUCAUUGCAACCCUCACGCGCGGCUUGCGUGUUGGGCGCCGUCCCCCGUGGACGCGCCCGAAAGGCAGUGGCGGUACCGUGCUCCGGUGCCCGAGCGUAUGGGCUUAAAACCCGCUCUUGUGGCCCGGCCGGCGCUGGCCUCGACCCCCAACUUUACAAGGUUGACCUCGGAUCAGGUAGGGAUACCCGCUGAACUUAAGCAUAUCAAUAAGCGGAGGA
RNAcentral lists this unclassified non-coding RNA (335 nucleotides) under soil metagenome. RNAcentral describes it as "partial contains 5.8S ribosomal RNA, internal transcribed spacer 2, and large subunit ribosomal RNA". The stretch from base 1 to 120 matches the Rfam family "5.8S ribosomal RNA", at positions 35 to 154 of the family's 154-position model. The record is from RNAcentral.